This is a non-coding RNA of Pelobates cultripes (western spadefoot toad), 113 nucleotides long. Lineage: Eukaryota; Metazoa; Chordata; Amphibia; Anura; Pelobatidae. The record is from the annotation of a GenBank genome assembly.
UUAAGUGUUCCCUUUAUUUUUUUGAGCCAUGUGUGUGUGUAUGUGUGUGUGUAUAUAUAUAUAUAUAUAUAUAUAUAUAUAUAUGGCUCAAAAAAAUAAAGGGAACACUUAUA